GGGCGUGGCCUAUCUCCACUAUAAAUACCGCCAACCGGGCGGCGCGGGCCCCUCUCGGCCACUGCCGCCAUAUUGGGGCCUUCCCCGGCCGCCGCCUCCAUCCGCCUCCAUCCGCCUCCAUCCGCCGCCCCCGCCCGCCCGGACUGAGCGCGGAGCCGCCGCCGCCCCGCCAUGAGGGCCAAGUGGCGCAAGAAGCGAAUGCGCAGGCUGAAGCGCAAGAGGAGGAAGAUGAGGCAGAGGUCCAAGUGACUGACCCCGCUGGGGCCGCGGCCCGGGGCCGUCUCGGUGACACCCUGGUGACACGCCGGUGACCUCCCGGGGCCGCGGGGGUCCCGCUGGGCCGGGCCCGUUCUCUCUGC
Molecule: long non-coding RNA, 359 nt
Filed under: Lepidothrix coronata (blue-crowned manakin)
Lineage: Eukaryota; Metazoa; Chordata; Aves; Passeriformes; Pipridae
Description: lncRNA (ENSLCOG00000007725.1)
Source: RNAcentral